AUACCGGUACCUUUUCAAGAUCUGGUAAUUGGAAUGAGUACAAUUCAAAUCCCUUAACGAGGAUCCAUUGGAGGGCAAGACUGGUGCCAGCAGCCGCGGUAACACCAGCUCCAAUAGCGUAUAUUAAAGUUGUUGCAGUUAAAAAGCUCGUAGUUGGGUAUCUGGCUUGGGCGGCCUGGUCCGUCUGUGCUUCUUCACAGGAGUGCGGGCGUGUAUCGGUAGCUGCUUUUGCCAUCCUUCUCGAUACGCUCCCCUUUCGUGGGGGUUAAACUCUGCGGGGGGGGUCAAGGGUGUGUCCGGAUCUUUUACUUUGAAAAAAUUAGAGUGUUCAAAGCAGGCAUUUUGCUGUGAAUACAUUAGCAUGGAAUAAUAAAAUAGGACUUUGGUCUUAUUUUGUUGGUUAAUAAGGCCGAAGUAAUGAUUGAUAGGGAUAGUUGGGGGUGCUUGUAUUGAACGGCCAGAGGCGAAAUUCUUGGAUUCGUUCAAGACAAACUACUGCGAAAGCAUUCACCAAGGAUGUCUUCUUUAAUCAAGAACGAAAGUUGGGGGAUCGAAGACGAUCAGAUACCGUCGUAGUCCUAACCAUAAACGAUGCCGACUAAGGAUCAGUGGGUGUUGUGUUUUAAAUGACCCCAUUGGCACUUUACGAGAAAUCAAAGUUUUUGGGUUCCGGGGGGAGUAUGGUCGCAAGGCUGAAACUUAAAGGAAUUGACGGAAGGGCACCACCAGGAGUGGAGCCUGCGGCUUAAUUUGACCCAACGCGGGGAAACUUACCAGGUCCGGACUCAGUUAGGAUUGACAGAUUGCAGAUCUUUCUUGAUUCUGAGGGUGGUGGUGCAUGGCCGUUCUUAGUUGGUGGAGUGAUUUGUCUGGUUAAUUCCGUUAACGAACGAGACCUCAGCCUGCUAAAUAGUCGAACGAAUGCUUUUCGUAUUCGUUUUUCGACUUCUUAGAGGGACUGUCUGUAUCUAGCAGAAGGAAGUGUGAGGCAAUAACAGGUCUGUGAUGCCCUUAGAUGUCCUGGGCCGCACGCGGGCUACAAUGUUGCAUUCAACAAGUUCCAUAUCCUUGAUCGAAAGGUCUGGGUAAUCUUUGAAAGUGCAACGUGCUUGGGAUAGACUAUUGCAAUUAUUGGUCUUCAACCAGGAAUUCCUAGUAAACGCGAGUCAUCAGCUCGCAUUGAUUACGUCCCUGCCCUUUGUACACACCGCCCGUCGCUCCUACCGAUUGAAUGAUCCGGCGAAAUCUUUGGACCGUCGUAGCGGGUUGGUUUCCAAUUCGCUGCUUCUGGGAAGUUGAUUGAACCUUAUCAUUUA
This 1316-nucleotide ribosomal RNA is filed under the name metagenome. RNAcentral's name for it is "SSU rRNA". It matches the Rfam family "Eukaryotic small subunit ribosomal RNA", at positions 483 to 1775 of the family's 1831-position model. The record is from RNAcentral.